Sciurus carolinensis (gray squirrel) is the source of this 804-nucleotide long non-coding RNA. RefSeq lists it as uncharacterized. Lineage: Eukaryota; Metazoa; Chordata; Mammalia; Rodentia; Sciuridae. The record is from RefSeq and is a predicted model, not a curated record. The transcript has 3 exons.
UGAUGAAGAAGAGCAUAUGCAUUGUUAUUGUCCCCGUGAGUGGUGGGCAAUCAUAAUAAGACUCUCCUGCAUUCCUCAGGAACCAAGGUGUUGGACAUGAUUAUGUAAAUGUCAUGGCAGAUAAGUUCAUAAGACUGGAAAAGAUACUGAAAUUUCAUAAUGAUGUUUGCAGAGUUGGAGGUGAAGAAACCUAGCUGCUUCUGUGACUUGGAAACAUCAGAGAGUAAGACAGUAACAUAAACUCUGAACACUGCCCCUGCAUUGGCCACCUCACAUAAGGGGCUAGAACAUAUCAUCCAAGAUAUGGAGUAUAAGAAGAGGAGAAAUGUCAGCCCCGUCCCUUGGAAAGAUGCAUAUAUGUCAUGCUGUUGGGAGAUGGAGAAACCAAACAGGAUCUUCAAGGACUAGAGCUCUGCCCUGUCCUCUGGAAGGAGACCUACAUAGUAUGCACGCUUCAGGAACCUCAGGGAAGAGGGUCCCAUUCUCUUCUCCCAUGCUUUGUGAACAGAAUCUAUUUCUUUGUUCUGUAAGAGUUUUUCUAUGGUCUCUCACAUGGUUCUCCUUUCUGUUAAGUGAACAGAUUUUCCUUUGUGGUUUGUUGAACUAGGGUACAUUUUUUUCAUUUGCAAGCUAUAGUCUGUCAAAUAGGCUAGUAACUGCUUACACAAGGCUUGACCUUUAAUGUGUAUGACUUGCUUAAUUACAAGCAUAUAAAAGACAGUGUAAUACACCAUAAAAACAGAAGCAGCCUCCUAUAUGAUAAGUUCUCCACCUCUCCCAAAUAAAGCUCUUCUCAGAUCUUCA